This 513-nucleotide ribosomal RNA is filed under the name Triticum aestivum (bread wheat). RNAcentral's name for it is "partial small subunit ribosomal RNA". Lineage: Eukaryota; Viridiplantae; Streptophyta; Magnoliopsida; Poales; Poaceae. The record is from RNAcentral.
AUGCUAGCCUCGCCGGCGCUCGCCGGCGCCACCCACUCCUUCCCGGCCUUCGUGUCGGGCAGCCGCGGCGUCCACCUCCCGUGCGCCUCCGCGCCCUCGCACUCGCCGGCGCGGCGGGCCGCCCUGGUCGUCCUCGCCAAAGCCAAGGUGUCCACGCCCAAUGCCGACCGCAUCGCCCGCCACGACCGCCUCCGCAAGAAGGUUAGCGGCACCACGGAGAGGCCAAGACUCAGCGUUUUCCGCUCAAACAAGCAUUUGUAUGCUCAGGUGAUCGACGAUACAAAGUCGUGCACUCUGGCUUCAGCCUCAACAAUGCACAAAGCUCUUUCAAAGGAGCUUGAGUACUCUGCUGGGCCAACAACUGAAGUGGCACAAAAGAUUGGUGAAGUGAUUGCCAAGUCCUGCUUGGAGAAAGGAAUCACCAAAGUGGUGUUUGACCGAGGGGGUUUCCUCUACCAUGGCCGCAUCAAAGCUCUAGCCGAUGCUGCUAGAGAGAACGGACUUGAGUUCUGA